CAUGACACAGUUAACAGAGGUCGGGGUAUGCGUAUACGAUAGCUUACCGGGUUUAAGCGAGGUUAGUUGGAACUAAACUUCAAAGAUUGCGUCGUUUCUUGGGUUUUCUAGAAGGAACAAGGGAUAUUUUCACCCGAUGACGAAGGUUAAAGGGCGAUAACAAGUACAUCUUUCGUUGCAGAAUAUGUAAUUAGGAAUUUAAAAUUAGCGGAGGACUGAGAUACCAUGCCCUAUUCAUGGACCGCAUGAGUUUAAAUAUAGAAUAUGCAAGAAAAAGUCCUUCAACAGAGCCGGACUAAACAGCAAAUAAAACAAACGAACCAAACAAAAAAUGUACAGCUGAAGUAUUUAGUUGUUUUUUUGUUUUUGUUUUAUUGUAUUGUUUUUACAUAGACAAGUCUGACAUAUAAUUGCUAUGAAUGCUUCUUAAUUACACGUUUUGGUCCGUUUGUGUCAUGAUGCUAGUCUCUCACCUUUUGUAUGAAAAUAAACCAUUAUCUGCGUUA
Dreissena polymorpha is the source of this 506-nucleotide long non-coding RNA. RefSeq lists it as uncharacterized. The transcript is spliced from 2 exons. The record is from RefSeq and is a predicted model, not a curated record. Lineage: Eukaryota; Metazoa; Mollusca; Bivalvia; Myida; Dreissenidae.